RNAcentral lists this ribosomal RNA (631 nucleotides) under Salacia arborea. RNAcentral's name for it is "eukaryotic LSU rRNA". The stretch from base 230 to 385 matches the Rfam family "5.8S ribosomal RNA". The record is from RNAcentral. Lineage: Eukaryota; Viridiplantae; Streptophyta; Magnoliopsida; Celastrales; Celastraceae.
AGGCAGAACGACCCGCGAACCGUUUAUAACUCAUUCGAGAGGCGGGCCUUCGUGCCCACCGCUCGUUGCCCCAGGGCUGGGGUUGUGGGUCAAGCCCGCACCCCCUCGCCGUGGGCGCAGACAACAAACCCCGGCGCAAAUCGCGCCAAGGAAGAAGAAAGAAAGACGUGCUCCCUCGGUCCCGGAAACGGUGCGCCAGGGACUGCGUUGUCGUUACCUCAUUCGAAACGACUCUCGGCAACGGAUAUCUCGGCUCUCGCAUCGAUGAAGAACGUAGCGAAAUGCGAUACUUGGUGUGAAUUGCAGAAUCCCGUGAACCAUCGAGUUUUUGAACGCAAGUUGCGCCCAAAGCCGUCAGGCCGAGGGCACGCCUGCCUGGGUGUCACGAAAUGUCGCCAAACAUCCCUUCCUUCGAGCCCCCUUCCAUUCCAAUCCAAGGGGGAAGCAUCGAGGGGUUGGCGGAUAUUGGCCUCCCGUGCGCAGUCGCUCGCGGUUGGCCUAAAAGAGAAGUCCCCCUGCGAGGCAUCCACGACACGCGGUGGUUGAAAGCGUAUGCUCUCCUGGAACACCGUCGUGGGCGAGCCUCGUCCAAGGGGAAAGCCAAAGGCCCCGACGCGGAGCGUCUUUCACU